This 934-nucleotide non-coding RNA is filed under the name Oreophryne sp. TNHC-GDC 18615. Its description in RNAcentral is "12S ribosomal RNA". It matches the Rfam family "Bacterial small subunit ribosomal RNA". Lineage: Eukaryota; Metazoa; Chordata; Amphibia; Anura; Microhylidae. The record is from RNAcentral.
CAAGGUUUGGUCCUGACCUUAUUAUCAGCUAUUACUUAACUUACACAUGCAAGUUUCCGCACCCCUGUGAGAACGCCCUUACCCCUUUCUCAAGAUAAGGAGCUGGCAUCAGGCACAAACAUCUGCCCACGACGCCUAGCAACGCCACACCCCCAAGGGUACCCAGCAGUGAUUAAGAUUGACCAUGAGCGCCAGCUCGAGUCAGUUAUAGUAAAAAGAGUUGGCCAACCCGGUGCCAGCCGCCGCGGCUACACCAUUGGACUCAAGUUGAUUAUACUUCGGCGUUAAGCGUGAUUAAAGUAACCUAAAGAUUAGAGCCAAAUCAAAACAAAGUCGUGACACCCUUGUUCCCCGAAGCACAAAACGAAAGUUACUCUAACAAAACUACUUGACCCCACGACAGCUAAGACACAAACUGGGAUUAGAUACCCCACUAUGCUUAGCCGUAAAACAUCUAUUCACAAUAAAGCCGCCAGGGAAUUACGAGCCCAAGCUUAAAACCCAAAGGACUUGACGGUGUCCCACCCACCUAGAGGAGCCUGUUCUAUAAUCGAUACCCCCCGAUCCACCCGACCGCCCCUUACAUAUUCAGCCUGUAUACCUCCGUCGAAAGCCCUCCGUGUGAACGCACCUAGUUAGCUCAAAGAUUUCUCAUCCAAACGUCAGGUCAAGGUGCAGCCAACGAGGCGGAAAGAAAUUGGCUACAAUCUCUACUUUAGAACAAACGGAAGACCGCUGCAACACGGUCAUUGAAGGCGGAUUUAGCAGUAAAAAGAAAAUAGAGAGUUCUUUUUAACCAGGCACUGGGACGCGUACACACCGCCCGUCACCCUCUUCUAACCCUCAGUAAUUGUAAUUAACACCAUACAACAACCACAGAAGAGGCAAGUCGUAACAUGGUAAGCGUACUGGAAAGUGCGCUUGGAACAACAAA